Molecule: ribosomal RNA, 197 nt
Filed under: uncultured Nitrosospira sp.
Lineage: Bacteria; Pseudomonadati; Pseudomonadota; Betaproteobacteria; Nitrosomonadales; Nitrosomonadaceae
Description: partial 16S ribosomal RNA
Rfam family: Bacterial small subunit ribosomal RNA
Source: RNAcentral
ACUCCUACGGGAGGCAGCAGUGGGGAAUAUUGGACAAUGGGGGCAACCCUGAUCCAGCCAUGCCGCGUGAGUGAAGAAGGCCUUCGGGUUGUAAAGCUCUUUCAGCCGGAACGAAACGGUCACGGUUAAUACCCGUGACUACUGACGGUACCGGAAGAAGAAGCACCGGCUAACUACGUGCCAGCAGCCGCGGUAAU